Neogale vison (American mink) is the source of this 862-nucleotide long non-coding RNA. RefSeq lists it as uncharacterized. The transcript has 5 exons. The record is from RefSeq and is a predicted model, not a curated record. Lineage: Eukaryota; Metazoa; Chordata; Mammalia; Carnivora; Mustelidae.
UUCAUCCUCACAAUCAAGCUGAAGACUUCUACAUCAAGUAACGCAUGAUAUUUAACCAAAACUCGUCAGUUUUAUAUUAAUUGGCUACUUUAUUCCAGACCUUAUUCUUGAAGUAUUUUCUUACUUCAGAGGAGACACAUCUCAGUGGUCGCUUCAGCUAAAACAGCACUAUUUGAGAUUUCAUCUUCUUGCCCAUUAAAGAACUGUUUGGCGCCUUGUUGUGUGUGAUUUACUUUCCAAACCUGGAAGUGCUGCGCGUACCACGGCACACACGCACAGGUGGAGGAGCUGGUGUGAAGAGCCGUGGGAAGGCAGGUCCGACACUCCUGGCGGGGAGAUGGACACGGUGCUCGUGGGUGUUGGAUGUUCUCGAAGCCCGGGAGGAAGCCGCUGAGCAGUGAAUAGGAACCACGUGUCCUCCCUGAGAAACGCCACAUCAUGUUGCCUUCUCACAUGUGCUUACGGGUGGCAGCUUGGUGUUGGAACACAGAAACCUCUCUCCCUCGCGUGCCAAGAUUUGAGGUGAUGGUCCCCAGGCCAGCGUGGCUCCCCUGCAAAGUAUCAGCACCCAGGACAACUCUACAAAGGUUCGAGAGCAGCUUGCCGUCCUCAUCUGCUGGUGGAGGCCGCUUCUGGGCAUGAAGAAGUCGGCUCAGUUUCCCUGAUGUGCCCUCGGGGUGAGGUCACCUGGGACCCCAGCGGCUACUCACCCGAGCACCGUUUUCUUCGGUCGCUACCGCACCCAUCUCGACCUCAGCGCACUGAGAAGCACUGCCACAGGAGCAGAAGAACAUGGGCGGUUCUGUUACUGUUGGGCUAUUGUAUCAGGGUAUUGAAAACUGAAAUUAAACCUUAUAAAAUA